This 961-nucleotide ribosomal RNA is filed under the name Zaninettia manaarensis. RNAcentral's name for it is "bacterial SSU rRNA". It matches the Rfam family "Eukaryotic small subunit ribosomal RNA", at positions 1160 to 1800 of the family's 1831-position model. Lineage: Eukaryota; Foraminifera; Lituolida; Remaneicidae. The record is from RNAcentral.
AAGGGCACCACAAGAACGCGUGGAGCAUGUGGCUUAAUUUGACUCGACGCAGGAAAUCUUGCCGGGUCCGGACACACUGAGGAUUGACAGGUGUUAAACUCAACGCAUGCUUGCGUGCGUUGAGUAAUAAAAAUGCUAGUCCUUUCAUGAUUAUGUGAUAGGUGGUGCAUGGCCGUUCUUAGUUCGUGGAGUGAUCGGUCUGCUUAAUUGCGUAUCACUAAACGUGCAUACAUAUAUGUGUGUUGUGCGUUAAUAUUAUAUAUUUCACGAUAUAUAAAAUUGACCCUUCGCACGUAUCUGCGCGUUGAUAGCAACGAACGUGACCGUAACCUCUUGUUGCCUUUUUACACACACAGUGUCGUGUCUCACGUCACUGUGUGCAAAAAAGUGCCAACUAGAGGGACCGCUGUUUCCUUUUUUUAAACCAGAGGAAGGUUACGGCAAUAACAGGUCUGUGAUGCCCUUAGAUGUUCCGGGCCGCACACGUGCUACAAUGAUUAUUGCAGUGAGCAUCUCGAUAUAGACAAUAUUGUUUGUACGCGAUCACGUAUAUAGAAAUAUAUGCGUUGUAUUGCGUACACAAUACUGCCUGCUUCGAAAGUUCGCGGGUAAUCAAUUAGCAACAAUGAUUUCCGUAUAGCACACAUAUAUGUGAUGGUAUUACCCACACAGUACUUUGUGACUGUGUUGUGCGUAUUAUCACUCGCAUGUGCAAUUGUCAAUUCAUGGUGGGGACAGACUAUUGUUAAUUUUUAGUCUCGGUCUCAACUAGGAAUGCCUUGUACUGGUUAGUUCAUCAAACUACCAGGAAUACGUCCCUGCCCUUUGUACACACCGCCCGUCGCUCUUACCGAUGAACUAUACUGUGAGUUUAUUGGACGACACUCUCGCAUGUAUCUGUGCGUUGUGACGAAAAAUAAACAAACAGUGUGGUUUAAAGGAAAGAGAAGUCGAACAAGGC